AGUGAACGCUGGCGGUAGGCCUAACACAUGCAAGUCGAACGGCAGCACAGUAAGAGCUUGCUCUUACGGGUGGCGAGUGGCGGACGGGUGAGGAAUAUAUCGGAAUCUACUUUUUCGUGGGGGAUAACGUAGGGAAACUUACGCUAAUACCGCAUACGACCUACGGGUGAAAGCAGGGGAUCUUCGGACCUUGCGCGAUUGAAUGAGCCGAUGUCGGAUUAGCUAGUUGGCGGGGUAAAGGCCCACCAAGGCGACGAUCCGUAGCUGGUCUGAGAGGAUGAUCGGCCACCCUGGAACUGAGACACGGUCCCGGCUCCUACGGGAGGCCGCAGUGGGGAAUAUUGGACAAUGGGGGCAAGCCUGAUACAGCCAUACCGCGUGGGUGAAGAAGGCCUUCGGGUUGUAAAGCCCUUUUGUUGGGAAAGAAAAGCAGCAGGUUAAUACCCCGCUGUUCUGACGGUACCCAAAGAAUAAGCACCGGCUAACUUCGUG
This 492-nucleotide ribosomal RNA is filed under the name uncultured bacterium. RNAcentral describes it as "partial 16S ribosomal RNA". It matches the Rfam family "Bacterial small subunit ribosomal RNA", at positions 29 to 507 of the family's 1533-position model. The record is from RNAcentral.